AUCCGACUGAUGAGUCCCAAAUGGGACGAAACGCAUGUUCAGGAU
Schistosoma haematobium is the source of this 45-nucleotide non-coding RNA. The record is from Rfam. NCBI's taxonomy places the organism in Eukaryota, Metazoa, Platyhelminthes, Trematoda, Strigeidida, Schistosomatidae.